Molecule: ribosomal RNA, 293 nt
Filed under: uncultured bacterium
Lineage: Bacteria
Description: partial 16S ribosomal RNA
Rfam family: Bacterial small subunit ribosomal RNA
Source: RNAcentral
GGUAGUCCACGCCCUAAACUAUGGAUACUCGACAUUUGUGAUACACAAUAAGUGUCUGAGCGAAAGCAUUAAGUAUCCCACCUGGGAAGUACGACCGCAAGGUUGAAACUCAAAGGAAUUGGCGGGGGUCCGCACAAGCGGUGGAGCAUGUGGUUUAAUUCGAUGAUAACCGAUGAACCUUACCAGGGUUUGACAUCCUUGGAAUUUCUGUGAAAGCAGAGAGUGCUUUAUUGAACCAAGUGACAGGUGAUGCAUGGCCGUCGUCAGCUCGUGUCGUGAGAUGUUUGGUUAAG